RNAcentral lists this ribosomal RNA (684 nucleotides) under uncultured bacterium. Its description in RNAcentral is "bacterial SSU rRNA". It matches the Rfam family "Bacterial small subunit ribosomal RNA", at positions 70 to 732 of the family's 1533-position model. The record is from RNAcentral.
GAAAAUUCCUUCGGGGAUUAGUAAAGUGGCAAACGGGUGAGUAAUACAUGGGUAACCUGCCCUUAAGACCGGGAUAACACCUUGAAAAGGGUGCUAAUACUGGAUAAGACCACAGGGUUGCGGCCUGGUGGUAAAAGAUAGCCUCUAUUUAUAAGCUUUCACUUAAAGAUGGGCUCAUGCGUCAUUAGCUUGUUGGUAGGGUAACGGCCUACCAAGGCAGCGAUGGCUAGCCGGCCUGAGAGGGUGAUCGGCCACACUGGGAUUGAGAUACGGCCCAGACUCCUACGGGAGGCAGCAGUGGGGAAUUUUGCGCAAUGGGGGAAACCCUGACGCAGCAACGCCGCGUGAAGGAUGAAGCUUUUUGGAGUGUAAACUUCUGUCAAAUGGGAAGAAGUGUUAGUGGGUUAAUAGCCUGUUAACUUGACGGUACCAUUGGAGGAAGCCCCGGCUAACUCCGUGCCAGCAGCCGCGGUAAUACGGGGGGGGCAAGCGUUGUUCGGAAUUACUGGGCGUAAAGAGCGCGUAGGCGGCUAGAUAAGUCAGACGUGCAAUCCUGUGGCUUAACCACAGAACUGCGUUUGAAACUGUUUAGCUUGAGUACAGGAGAGGGAAGUGGAAUUCCAAGUGUAGCGGUGAAAUGCGUAGAUAUUUGGAGGAACACCAAUGGCGAGGGCGGCUUCCUGG